RNAcentral lists this ribosomal RNA (272 nucleotides) under Escherichia coli. RNAcentral describes it as "partial 16S ribosomal RNA". It matches the Rfam family "Bacterial small subunit ribosomal RNA", at positions 1 to 269 of the family's 1533-position model. The record is from RNAcentral. Lineage: Bacteria; Pseudomonadati; Pseudomonadota; Gammaproteobacteria; Enterobacterales; Enterobacteriaceae.
AAAUUGAAGAGUUUGAUCAUGGCUCAGAUUGAACGCUGGCGGCAGGCCUAACACAUGCAAGUCGAACGGUAACAGGAAGCAGCUUGCUGCUUCGCUGACGAGUGGCGGACGGGUGAGUAAUGUCUGGGAAACUACCUGAUGGAGGGGGAUAACUACUGGAAACGGUAGCUAAUACCGCAUAACGUCGCAAGACCAAAGAGGGGGACCUUCGGGCCUCUUGCCAUCGGAUGUGCCCAGAUGGGAUUAGCUAGUAGGUGGGGUAACGGCUCACC